CCCGCGCAGCGUCUCUGCACACGGCCCUGCCGGCGCUGCCAUUCCCCACGAGGACUCUGGCCUGAAGUGUCGGUGCGAGGCUUCUGCAGGCGGCCAGUGAAACUAGACUAAGCACAAAGGGAAAAAAAAAAGGUGAGGAAACAGAGGCACAGAGAGAUGAAGGAUUCUUCUCAAGGCACUCAGCUGGGAAGCGGCAGAGCCAAGAUGCUGCAGCACCUCCUACUCCCAGUUGUGACAACCAGAAGUGUCUCCAGUAUUGACAGAUGUCCACUGAAGGGGAAGAAAUUGCCCUCAUUUGAGAAUCACUGGCAUAUUGUAAGUGCCCAACGCACGAUGGACAUUUGGUGAUUAUUAUUCUGACUAGACCUUAAGCUACCACAAAGCUGGCCUGCUGGGGAGGUCCUUCAGCCCUUUGCCAGGAGAAAGCUUCUUGAGGAAAUGGGGAGCUGCUUCCUGGCUGGAACUGUGAGAAGACAACCAUCUCAGACAAAGAGCUGUACUAUUUUUUGGGGGGUAUUUUCUGCACUAAGAAGUUUAUUUUUUCUUAUUACUCAAUAAAGAGCUGUGCUUUCUC
Non-coding RNA from Sus scrofa (pig), 574 nucleotides. NCBI's taxonomy places the organism in Eukaryota, Metazoa, Chordata, Mammalia, Artiodactyla, Suidae. The record is from RefSeq and is a predicted model, not a curated record.